This is a long non-coding RNA of Homo sapiens (human), 1596 nucleotides long. Ensembl annotates it as glioma stem cell association long noncoding RNA. Its record names the gene GSCAR. NCBI's taxonomy places the organism in Eukaryota, Metazoa, Chordata, Mammalia, Primates, Hominidae. The record is from Ensembl.
AGUCCAGUCUUUUCUAAAUCUUACUGGGGGAAAACCCUGAACAGGAACCAUUAGAGAAGAAGGCGACCCCUCUAAUAACCCCUAUAAUAACAGGGCCCGGCUGCUGGGCAUUGUCAACAGGGAAAUAACUCGGUCGCUGCUUUUCUGGCGAAGACGUGCCAUAGCCUGGGAUAGUAGCCUGGGGUCACAGGGCCACACCGAAAGCCCUCAUCUCUCUCUACCUUCUCUCUGCAGAAAAAGCGUGAGGCUGCUCCUCAUUGACACCCACUUAGAAGUUGGUUGAUGAAGACUGCAGUGAGCACUCUCAGCAAGGGUAAAACUGGCACAUUUGGGCCUGAAAUGGGGUCCUCGGGGCCUGGUAGGCUCAAGUAUGCCCUUGGUAAUUUCCAGCUUACAGAGAAAAGAAGAGCGUUCACUUUGUUUCUGCUGGCAGGGUGAAAAGGGGCAGCUACGUGGCCAAAGGUUACACGUUUUCCCUCACUGCGAACUGUCAGCCUUAUUCCGAGUAUAGCCACCACUGACUUCUGACCCUGGACGGUGUCAUUCACCGGGAACUCUUAACGUCUCCGGCCGAGAAAGGAGGGGACGGUAGCUAACUCUUUCGGCGGAGCUGAACCCCUACCCCCUCCCUCCUGUGACCCGAGCCUACUGCGAGACCUGGACACCGCCAAGUGGGGCAACGUUUCGCUCUUACAGCAGCUUCCCGACCUCUGCUAACUCCCAGGCCAUUUCAGAAGGCGCAAAGGGGAGAAGGAAAAGUUCAGAGAGCAAACGUUGCUCUCUAGCCUCCCCCAACCUCCAGUUCCUCUCUUCCUUCCCCUGCUGUCCAAACUUCAUACUGUCCACCAGGGGAGACUGCCCCCCGACUCGGCUGUCCCUCACUAACGCGGUGGUCCCCGACCUAGGGUCGCAGAUGCACUUCCCGAGGCACAUGCGGGCGCAACAAGGUAACUGCGCUCCAGGCGUGGAACCCCAGUCCUGAGCGAUGUGAAACCAACCCCAAGCGGGCUGUGCUCACAGUUUGGGAAAAGGUAAUGUCUCUGAUCCCCCCAUAUCCACCCCUCCCCCAACCCUUGAGGACAGAUUCGGGUACCGCAAAACCGCCAGGCACAGAAGGGAGGAGAGCUGGGACGGACAGGCUACUCCCGGGGAGGGGAUCACCUCCACGUUCCCGCUCCAAGCGGCUGGUAGCUGCUAGUAAUUCAGACUUCUGGCCUCGGAGGAAGAGUGCCAGGGAAGAAAGAGACUAAGAAAUCCUCAAACGCCCGUAGAACAAGACCCGGGAGAAGUGCCCAAGUGGGCGCGGCCGUCGGCGAGGUCAGUUUAGCCUGUACUGGACCGUGGAACCCUGAGCGCUGAGGCUGUGGGGUCGCGGGAUUCUACUGGGCCUCGCCAGCUUCCACAGUCUGCUGCGGUCUGUGGAAUGGGGAAGGAUAAAAUACAGACUUUGGUUUAUUUUAAAAAAUGGUAUUCUGCCUGAACUAUCAGGUCCAUGGUUUGCUUUUGGCGCUUGCAGAAGCACCAGGACGAUCUUUCCAAAAAUUUCUGCAGUAGUUUAACUAACCAAUGAAAUAAAUGAAGGUUAAAAAACCAAAA